RNAcentral lists this ribosomal RNA (583 nucleotides) under uncultured bacterium. RNAcentral describes it as "partial 16S ribosomal RNA". It matches the Rfam family "Bacterial small subunit ribosomal RNA", at positions 355 to 1375 of the family's 1533-position model. The record is from RNAcentral.
UGGGGAAUUUUGGACAAUGGGCGAAAGCCUGAUCCAGCAAUGCCGCGUGUGUGAAGAAGGCCUUCGGGUUGUAAAGCACUUUUGUCCGGAAAGAAAUCCUUGGCUCUAAUACAGUCGGGGGAUGACGGUACCGGAAGAAUAAGCACCGGCUAACUACGUGCCAGCAGCCGCGGUAAUACGUAGGGUGCAAGCGUUAAUCGGAAUUACUGGGCGUAAGCGUGCGCAGGCGGUUUGCUAAGACCGAUGUGAAAUCCCCGGGCUCAACCUGGGAACUGCAUUGGUGACUGGCAGGCUAGAGUAUGGCAGAGGGGGGUAGAAUUCCACGUGUAGCAGUGAAAUGCGUAGAGAUGUGGAGGAAUACCGAUGGCGAAGGCAGCCCCCUGGGCCAAUACUGACGCUCAUGCACGAAAGCGUGGGGAGCAAACAGGAUUAGAUACCCUGGUAGUCCACGCCCUAAACGAUGUCACUAGUUGUUGGGGAUUCAUUUCCUUAGUAACGUAGCUAACGCGUGAAGUUGACCGCCUGGGGAGUACGGUCGCAAGAUUAAAACUCAAAGGAAUUGACGGGGUCAUAGCUGUUUCCU